GCGGGUGUGGCGGAACUGGCAGACGCACCAGAUUUAGGUUCUGGCGCAGAGAGGAGUGGGGGUUCGAGUCAAUUUCUGGGAAAAAAAAAUCAGCGCAAGACCCUCUGCCGGCC
RNAcentral lists this transfer RNA (113 nucleotides) under Paracoccaceae bacterium. RNAcentral's name for it is "Rhodobacteraceae bacterium (activated sludge metagenome) tRNA-Leu". Lineage: Bacteria; Pseudomonadati; Pseudomonadota; Alphaproteobacteria; Rhodobacterales; Paracoccaceae. The record is from RNAcentral.